AAAUUCAAGCUGCUAUACUCUGGCUGCAUUGACUUGUGGUCAGAGUGUAUGGUGAUCAUAGCAAUUGCAAGUAUUGGGCUCGAUAAAUCCUUUGAAGACGACUUAAUUGCAUCCGGGUAUUGUAAGUGUUGAGAGUAGGCUUAGUCUUACGAUCCACUGAGAUUCAUCCCGUGUUGCGCCGAUUUGU
Molecule: non-coding RNA, 187 nt
Organism: Perkinsus marinus ATCC 50983
Lineage: Eukaryota; Perkinsozoa; Perkinsida; Perkinsidae
Source: Rfam